UCUAAUACCGGAUAAUACUCCUGCCUGCAUGGGUGGGGGUUAAAAGCUCCGGCGGUGAAGGAUGAGCCCGCGGCCUAUCAGCUUGUUGGUGGGGUAAUGGCCCACCAAGGCGACGACGGGUAGCCGGCCUGAGAGGGCGACCGGCCACACUGGGACUGAGACACGGCCCAGACUCCUACGGGAGGCAGCAGUGGGGAAUAUUGCACAAUGGGCGAAAGCCUGAUGCAGCGACGCCGCGUGAGGGAUGACGGCCUUCGGGUUGUAAACCUCUUUCAGCAGGGAAGAAGCGAAAGUGACGGUACCUGCAGAAGAAGCGCCGGCUAACUACGUG
This 331-nucleotide ribosomal RNA is filed under the name Streptomyces sp. GT84. RNAcentral describes it as "bacterial SSU rRNA". It matches the Rfam family "Bacterial small subunit ribosomal RNA", at positions 162 to 507 of the family's 1533-position model. The record is from RNAcentral. Lineage: Bacteria; Bacillati; Actinomycetota; Actinomycetes; Kitasatosporales; Streptomycetaceae.